Fukomys damarensis (Damara mole-rat) is the source of this 1313-nucleotide long non-coding RNA. RefSeq lists it as uncharacterized. The transcript is spliced from 3 exons. The record is from RefSeq and is a predicted model, not a curated record. Lineage: Eukaryota; Metazoa; Chordata; Mammalia; Rodentia; Bathyergidae.
ACUUCAAGGCCAGCCUGGGAUACAUAGCUCACUACAAGCAGAGAUCUUUCCUCAUCCUCAGAACUUGGCACAGAAAAACCACCAAUUAAAGAAAAUCACUGUCUGGACUAAUCCACCUCAUCAUCUCCGGCAAACUCAAAAUGGUCGAUGCUGCUUGUUUUCAAAUCUCAAUUUUCCCUGCCAUCUGCAGUCAGAUUUGUUCCUUAGUCCUCACAUAAACCUGUCUGGAUGCCACAUCUCAACAGCCACUCUCCAUGGGGCAGCUUUUUCUACCCAGUGACCAAGGCUUUGGACCUCCUCACUGGACCAAUAAGGCUUUUCUCUCCUAACCCUUGAGAGCUGUGAUCACUCUACAGACCACAGAGCACUGCCAUGUGCUAAGGACAGGUGUUCAUCCUGCAGGUCAGCGCAUAUGACCUCUCACCUGAAUAAAGAAAUCAGUACAGUUGAGAGACCAGGUAUUCUCUGCCAUGAGAGACAGAGAGCUGGGCAUGGUGUUGCACAUCUAGAAUCCCACUGUCAAGGGCAGAGAUGGGUGGAGAGUCUCUGCAGUCCUGGGCCUGACUCUCCCGAUGAUGCAGAAGGUUGUGGAAGAAUUAGAGACCAAAAGUGUAGAAGCAAAGUUGUACUUUUAUUCAGCAAGCAUGCAAGAGUACAGUGCUUUCUUCCAGAGAGACAGGAAGGGGUGCCCAAAACGAAGCCACUGUUGAAGGGGGGCUCAAGAUGUUGGUUUUAUAUUAGUCAGGGGCCUAUCCUGUCUCUGGGCUGAGGGUGCCCCUACUUGAUUGGUUAAUUGGUUGACCUGGCUCGUGACUAGGGACAAUAGGGAAGGGUCUUUUGGGGGCCUUUUACAUCUUGGGGGCCUGUUAUAUGGAGAGGAGAGGACAGGAACUUACUAUGUAUCACAGACUGGUCAGGAAUUCAAAGUGAUCCUCCUGCCUCAGCCUCCCAAGUACUGGGAUUACAUAAAUGUGCCACCAAGCCCAGCUUAUAUACUACUGCUAUGUAACUCAUUCUACUGCAAAUAGAUGUACUUCUCCCUGUUAAACUGUCAGCUCUUUAUGUGUUUUUUUUUUUUCUUUCUUUGGUGAUGAGGUCUUGCUGUGUUCCUUGAGAUAGUGUCAAACUCUUGGAUUCACGUGAUCCUCGUACCUCAGCCUCCCAAGUAGCUGGGACUCCUGGCACACACCACCUUGCUUAGAUUGUGAUCCCCUUAAAAGCAAGAACUAGGCUGGUGUGAUGGUGGACACCUGGAAUCCCAGUACUUGGGAGGUUGAAGCAAGAGGAUCACCUCAAGUUUGAGGUUAGUCUGG